RNAcentral lists this ribosomal RNA (858 nucleotides) under uncultured bacterium. RNAcentral's name for it is "SSU rRNA". It matches the Rfam family "Bacterial small subunit ribosomal RNA", at positions 524 to 1381 of the family's 1533-position model. The record is from RNAcentral.
UACGUAGGGGGCGAGCGUUGUCCGGAUUUAUUGGGCGUAAAGAGCUCGUAGGCGGUUCAACAAGUCGGUCGUGAAAGUUCAGGGCUCAACCCUGAAAUGUCGAUCGAUACUGUUGUGACUAGGAUACGGUAGAGGUGAGUGGAAUUCCGAGUGUAGCGGUGAAAUGCGUAGAUAUUCGGAGGAACACCAAUUGCGAAGGCAGCUCACUGGGCCGCUAUCGACGCUGAGGAGCGAAAGCUAGGGGAGCAAACAGGAUUAGAUACCCUGGUAGUCCUAGCUGUAAACGAUGGAUACUAGACGUAGGAACUGGAUUGACGGUUUCUGUGUCGUAGCUAACGCGUUAAGUAUCCCGCCUGGGGAGUACGGUCGCAAGACUAAAACUCAAAGGAAUUGACGGGACCCCGCACAAGCGGCGGAGCAUGCGGCUUAAUUCGAUGAUACCCGUAGAACCUUACCUGGACUUGACAUAUAGGGUCUAGCUAUAGAGAUAUAGUGUGCAUUAGCGCCCUAUACAGGUGGUGCAUGGCUGUCGUCAGCUCGUGUCGUGAGAUGUUGGGUUAAGUCCCGCAACGAGCGCGACCCCUAUCCUAUGUUGCCAGCAUUUAGUUGGGGACUCAUAGGAGACUGCCGGUGAUAAACCGGAGGAAGGUGGGGACGACGUCAAGUCAUCAUGCCCCUUAUGUCCAGGGCUGCACGCAUGCUACAAUGGCAAGUACAACGAGUCGCAAUACCGCGAGGUGGAGCAAAUCUCCUAAAGCUUGUCUCAGUUCGGAUAGGAGUCUGCAACUCGACUCCUUGAAGUUGGGGUCGCUAGUAAUCGCAAAUCAGCAAAGUUGCGGUGAAUACGUUCUCGGGGUU